AAAUAAGAAGCAAAAUCUUGCAUUUAGUUUCGACCUAAAAGUUUGAUCGUCACGAUCCUUAUUUA
Molecule: transfer RNA, 65 nt
Filed under: Labidostomis lucida
Lineage: Eukaryota; Metazoa; Arthropoda; Insecta; Coleoptera; Chrysomelidae
Description: tRNA-Arg
Source: RNAcentral